RNAcentral lists this ribosomal RNA (252 nucleotides) under uncultured bacterium. Its description in RNAcentral is "partial 16S ribosomal RNA". It matches the Rfam family "Bacterial small subunit ribosomal RNA", at positions 524 to 776 of the family's 1533-position model. The record is from RNAcentral.
UACAGAGGUCUCAAGCGUUGUUCGGAUUCAUUGGGCGUAAAGGGUGUGUGGUGGCGCGGUAAGUCGGGUGUGAAAUCUCGGAGCUUAACUCCGAAACUGCAUUCGAUACUGCCGUGCUUGAGGACUGGAGAGGAGAAUGGAAUUUACGGUGUAGCGGUGAAAUGCGUAGAUAUCGUAAGGAAGACCAGUGGCGAAGGCGGGUCUCUGGACAGUUCCUGACGCUGAGGCACGAAGGUCAGGGGAGCAAACGGG